UGCCUGUCUUCUCUUCUCUUCCUCCCACAGAUGAAACCCUAGUGAAAUCUCUUGAAUCUGUUCAAUCAUCGAACCUUAGUAAGUGUUUUUCAAUCUUCAGUCAUCGAAACCUAAUGAAUCGAUGAAACCCUAGUAAGUGUUUUUGUAAUCUGCUGAUAAAUGUAAAGUUUGUGAGUUAGUUGGAAUCGGAAAUACUGGUACUGAAAUUAGAGAUUGGGUUAGGGGUUUUCUGUAAAUUGAGAAAACCAUGAAGAAAUCGGUAUUUUCGAGAGAGAGAAAGAGAAAGAAGAGAUGGAUUCGAAUGAUGGGUUUGAAUCAGAUCGAGUUAAAUAUAGGGUUUGAUGGGUUUAUCUUAAAACUGAGCACCUGCUGCUGAUGAAGUUGAAUCGAGAAUAUGUGUAUUGUUUUUGCUACCUGUAAUUGAAGUUGAUGAUAGUUUGAAUUAGCCGUUGCUGCUGGUGAUAUUGAUGAUGUGAAAUAGACGGAAUUGAAGUUAGGGUUUUCUUGUAUGAUGAAGAAAUCGAACCAAGAAUGGUUAAUUGCUGGUGGUGAUUUUGAAACUAAAGAAAAAGAAUUAAAAGAUGGGUGUUGAUAUUUGAGUUGAUUGAGAGUCUGCUGGAGAAUUGGUUUGGGUUCAUGUUUGAUUUUCUUGAAGAUAAAAGGGGAUCUGAGAUUACAGAGAUGGAAAUGGUGGCUGCUAUUACGAGAUGGCUGAAUUGCGAUAAUGGAGGAUGUGCUGCAAUUAUGGGUUUGAUGUGUAGUUGCAGUUGGUGUAGCUAGAAUGAUGUUGAUGAUGUUGUUGGAGGUGCAGUAAUGAUAAGAACAAAAGAAUCUGCUGCUGCUUUCGCUAAUGAUACAGAGUAUGGUGAAGAAUUGGUGUGUAGUUAUGAAGAUGCAGCUGAGAUUAUGAGUAAACAAGUCAGGUAAUGGAGAUGUCUAGUUGAGACCAAGCAGCAAGGAGUUGUGGUUGGCUAAGAGUGAUUCAAGAGUUUGCAAAAUGGGUAAAUGGUUGAAGAAAGUGGAUGUAGAUGGAGUUGGAACUGCAGGGUACUAGCCUGAUGCUGUGAAGAAGCUGAGUGCAGCUGUUGCAGGGAGCUUGAACUGAGCUGUAGAGCUGGUUAUUGUAACAGAAGGUGUUGGGUCUGAACUGGUGCUGUCGAUUGCUGCAAAGGGAAGUUGUAUUGCAGCUGUAAUUCAAGUGGGAGUUUUGAUUAUGAGACAUGACGUCAAUCUGAUCGUGAACACGCCUCCUCUAAGUAUGGGACUGUUGACAGAGUUGACAUGAAAUCUGGAUGACAUCUUCCAGUUGAGAAUGGAUCAGCGUUAGGUGAGUAUGCUUGCUAGGGAUUAUAGGGAAAAAAUCAAUAAAAGAAAGAACAAGCCUAUAAUGUUGUCACAGAGAACGAACAGUCCUAUCAUCUUGCCACAUCACAUGCUACCUGGUUUUAGAGAAGGGCUGGAGAAGAUGUCUUAAAGUGAUGCUUCAUCCGCCAUCUUUAUUGAAGAUGAAGAGGACCUAGUGGAAAAGAAAAUAAACAAGGCACAUUGUCCAUAAGGAAUUGUGGAAGGAAAUCCAUGUUUGGAGUACAUAAAGCACUUCAUAUUCCCAUGGUUUCAGGAGUUCGAAGUAGAGCGUUUCGAAGAACAUGGGGGGAAUAAAUCUUCAAAAACAUAGAAGAUCUAAUUACCGACUACCAAAACAAGAAACUGCAUCCUGCUGACCUGAAGCUGGCACUUGCUAAGGCGCUGAAUAGAAUAUUGAAGCUUGUGCGAGAUCACUUCAAUAAUCACCCUGAAGCAAAAGCCGUUUUGGAAAGUGAAGUGGAACGGGAUGGUGUUUAGGAGGAGCCUUUUGGAUCAGAAAGGCUGGAGAACAAAGCAGUCAUAAGGUACAGAAAUCCUGCUCGCCACAUGGUCGAACGAGGUUGCACGAAAUAGACGAAGUGAAUCUUAGACAGAAGAACUUUUAUGAACCCCGAGGGUGAAUGUCAGUGAUAAGUCAAAUCAAGUGUCAGAGUUACUUUUACAAAUAUUAGAUCUGCGAAGUAUGAAUCCACUCUGAAUAAGAGAUCUGCGAAUGAGUGUAGAUAACCAACAAGCGAGAUAAAGGUGAUCGAGCGAGAAAGUAGUUAAUGAAGAAGCAGUGGGACGAAGUAAAUAAUAGUCUUAGACGAAGAUGAAUUGUUGCGCAAGAAGUGGGAAAACUGUACCGACAAGUUACCGAAGUUAUCGGCGAAAAGAAUAGAAUAACUUUAUUGAAAAUGGCUUGGACGAAGUAUAAAACAGAAUCACGUGAAUUGUGUGAUUACCGGCGAAGUAAAAUGAGUUGUACUCCACUACUUUGUUUUUCCUAUAAAUAGAGACCUUGGUUCAUUGUAAAAGGGUGGGAUUUUUGGUAUUUGGAGAGGUCAUGUUGAGAGAAAGUAAAUUAGGGUUCUUGUAAGUUUCAAUACUUGUAAUAUCAUCAUCAUCGUCAUCAUCUCGAUCUAAUAAUAAAGCAGCGUUACUAUUUUGUUCA
Molecule: long non-coding RNA, 2518 nt
Organism: Papaver somniferum (opium poppy)
Lineage: Eukaryota; Viridiplantae; Streptophyta; Magnoliopsida; Ranunculales; Papaveraceae
Exons: 8
Source: RefSeq, a predicted model, not a curated record